UACCAGCACCCCGAGUGGUCGGGACGAUUAUUGGGCCUAAAGCAUCCGUAGCCGGUUCUACAAGUCUUCCGUUAAAUCCACCUGCUUAACAGAUGGGCUGCGGAGGAUACUAUAGAGCUAGGAGGCGGGAGAGGCAAGCGGUACUUAGUGGGUAGGGGUAAAAUCCGUUGAUCCAUCGAAGACCACCAGUGGCGAAGGCGGCUUGCCAGAACGCACUCGACGGUGAGGGAUGAAAGCUGGGGGAGCAAACCGG
Molecule: ribosomal RNA, 253 nt
Filed under: uncultured bacterium
Lineage: Bacteria
Description: partial 16S ribosomal RNA
Rfam family: Archaeal small subunit ribosomal RNA
Source: RNAcentral